Hypanus sabinus (Atlantic stingray) is the source of this 11377-nucleotide long non-coding RNA. RefSeq lists it as uncharacterized. The transcript has 3 exons. NCBI's taxonomy places the organism in Eukaryota, Metazoa, Chordata, Chondrichthyes, Myliobatiformes, Dasyatidae. The record is from RefSeq and is a predicted model, not a curated record.
UGGUGCUUGAUCGCAAUAGUGGGACGUCCCCGUCCUUGACUCCUCGACUGCAGUCUCACCGCAGACUGGUGCUGUGAGUCGCGCUGCGGAGACGCUUCAUGUACGACCUGUGCCCAGGUUGUGGCAGGCGCUCUAGAAAUGCAAAUGAACAAAGAGGCUUCCUCCACUCCCGCCCACCCACCCGGGUAAAGGUGGCGGCAGUGUUGGGGCGAGGGUGGUUCGUAGAUUCACCGCACUGGAUUCCUUUUGAAGGUUUGGGCUGUUCCCCGAGGUAGGCUGUUGCGAUCUGUCCAACAAAGAGGUGAGGCAGUGAGACGCGAAAGAUAACCGUGUGGAUCAUGGGUUGCAACAGGACGGAGAAAACGGGGACCACCUCAGUGAAACGGUAACGGGUUUUUUGCUCGCUCAAAGAAAACUUUCAUGCUCUCCUAAUGUAGCCCAACACUGGAGGAGACUGCGGCCUGACCUAAUGACUCGCCCUGUCCGUGGUAAGUAUUUCACACACAAAAUAGCCAGCGCACUCCGGGUGGGUUCAGCCUGCGAAUUGUUUUGCCUCUGUGGGCAAUCGUUACGGAGCAGGCAGCCCGCCAAGGUGGGUGACGCGGGGACUCCAGAGAGGGAGGGAGAGAAAAGACUUGAAAUUGGCCACCAGCCAACUGUCUGAGCCCUUUUCUUUUCUUUGGAUUUAGGCAGUGUGUGGGUGUUCCAGGACCCCUUGAGGUGUGUGAAACAGUACCUGGGUGUCUAAAUCCUCGAUCACUGCACUGGUAUUUUAGCUGGAAGGGGAGCGUCGCCUAUAAACACACACCUAGCAACUGCAGUCCCGGACCCGCCGCCCAGAAAUGAAUGAAGACAAAAAAUGCUCGGGCUGAUCUCUAAACAUGAUUUUGUAGCUGUUUACUAUAAAUCCCAAAAGAUGUGUCACUUUAAUAGAACUGGUCUGGGUUAUCUUUAGAAACGGACAGAGCCCUGUGCUUCCUUAUAAGGUCCCUCACAUAUUUGUGAUGCACACAAUUUCAACUCGAAUUAUUUGUGAAGGAGCACAAUUCCGUCAGUGCAGAUGGCAGGAGGCACUAACUCACAAGAUUUUGUAAACUGAAGAGAAAAAUAAAUGCAGAGGAAAUUGAAAUCAGGUCUCAAGACUCCUAGAAUGCUGCGUUUGCGGCCAUUUCCGACUGUUCACUUUACGAGGCCAUUAGAGUGCCAAAACAAUAAUGGAAUUUAAUCCAACCUGCCCGACAGGGUCAAAAUGGACGUCCCAUUCCCAUCUCAACAGCUGAGUCACCAGCCCAGUUAUUAGUUUGCCUGACCUCAUCCCACUUCCUAACGUCUUUCUUGGGUCUUCCUGCAAAUCAGAAUCCUGUGAUAUCAUCAGGGUAGCCAGUGAUCUGUGGGGAGUUUACAAAUAACAACAUUUUGCCAUGAAUUAAAAGAGAGAGUAACUGGCAUUCACAUAGCUCCUUCGAUUAUCUCAAGGCCUCCACGCACCCUCCCUGAUCCAUCUUAUAGUCAAUAAAUAUGUCAAACCCACAAACUCUGGUUCCCUGGGCAAUUACUCUCACCACUACAGUGCUACCUCUACACAAACUGAAAGCAAAGUGAAAAUGUUAGAACCAUGUAGAAUGUGGGGCAACUCGGGAGCACGAGGCCAUUCGGCCCGUCGACCGGAAAGGUUUCUCUCUCCACAGAUGCGGCCCGACCUGCUGGGUGCUUCCAGCAUUCUCUGCUUUUGUUAUGGAAUCGGUAUUCCAGAAUCUGCAAAGAUUCUCGUUUCCACGUGAAAUCACUGACACCACCCAGUUCCACCUUACCGUUUGUUUUACAACAUUACGAAAGUUAAUUCACUCACAAAAUAUUGUAAAUCUUGGAUUUACAAGACUUUAAAGUACUGCUACUACAGAACCAUUGUCUUCGGUUUGCAUCUGCUGCAUGUUAAAAUCGCAGCACGUUGCAUUCACCUAUCGCCCUCAUCUAUUGUUUUCCCAUCCACCCCACAGCCUUCUGCCUGAACCCCUUUGGAAUCCCACCCAGACCCAGAACCCCUUAUCCCCCCCACCGAGCCACUCUUAUUGGCCGUCUCAGUUGUCCAAGCUUCCCCCCUCCCUGAAUUUUCUCCCUUAAUCACUUCGCCUCUUUCUUGCAUGGCCGGUUGCAGCUAAUCACCUAACUGCCCCUGCAAGCGUCCCAGAACGAUAAAGGCGCUACGCAAAGGCACACUACUACAGUACUCUCUACCCCCAACACAACAGGUGAGACGCCAGCACCAAUAUCUUGUGUGGAGGCAGCAAAAUAGAGUGGCGAAGACCCUCAAGAUCCGACCUCUCAAAACGUCGGCGGACGACACUGCCGCAGAAAACCCGAGCCGGUGUCCUUUUCUCUGAAGAAACUCUCCCUCAGUCUCUCUGAAGUCUGAGAUGAAUGUUAAUGACUCAGGCAAACCUCUCCUGACGCUGCCCGGCCGCCAUUUUGGUUUUUUUCGCUGCAGAUUCCAGGGACCCCAUGCACUGAAAACAAGGUCGGCAUUGAUUGCUAGACCGUUUAGGAAUCACACACGAGCCAAGCUUGGUAAAGACAUUAGAUUUCCUUCAUUAAGACUAUUAGCGACUCAGAUACGUUUUCACAAUGUAACUUUUUUAUGGAAAAGAAAUCCAUAUUACUAGCUGCUGGAUACAAAACUGCUGCCACUGGGUCACCAGCUUGUUAGGGUAAUCGGCGCAGGCAUGAAUUGCCGAGAACCCACUACACGUCUUUGCUAAUAUCUCGACUGUAAAGACAUCCCGUGGACGAGAGGCGAAUUAACAACGGUAAAACAAGAGCUUGUCAUGUACCGAAAAAAGGGUUUGGAAGGAGCCCGUGGAGGGGAACAAAGAGGAUGCUGUGGCCGAGACCAAGGCCGACCUCAGCGGCCCCGAUGAAUGACUCAGCACCCCCCCACCCCGCCACACACACACCCACACCCUUCCCAGCUCCUUCCCACCCGCACGACUUAGGCUGCCGUUUGGAAACCGCCUUGAAUCUAUCCGGGUUGGUUAACAAAACCUUGUUUUAAGAUAAAGAGGAAUUGCAGUGGGUGGUCCCUAUUAAACCCCAUCACUUGGGAAUGGACUUCCAGCGUUUUUUUUCCGGGAGCGCUGGCAGCUCGGGGCAAAGGUGCGGCUUUGUCCCGGCAAGGCUCCGCUAGCCCGCUGCGUCCCCGCGUGGAGAACUCCUCCUUGCGCCAGUCAGUUGACUUAAAUAGAAACGCACUCUUCAAUUAACCCGCAACUUCUCACGAUAAACAAACAAAUUGGAGGUCAACAGGGAGAAGUCGAUUUCAGGUCAGAUCCCUGCUCCUCGUCCGAUGUGCCUACCACAGGUGGCCGUUGUUCAGUCAAAGCCAGUCCGUCUGAUUUAUUCUAUUUCAGCAGCAUUACUGUACAUCCCUACUUGCCCCCUGAGCGGUAGUGAGCUGCCUGCAAGUCAAGGCUUGCUGGGCCAUUGCAGAGUCAAACAUAUAGUGUGGGAGUGGAGUCACAAACAGGAGAAACACAUACAAAAUGCUGGAGGAACUCAGCAGAUCAGGCAGCAUCUAAGGAGGGAAAUGAACAGUGGAUGUUUGAAGCCAACCCCUUAGUCAAGACUUAGCCCAAAACACUGACAGUUUAUUCCCCUCCAUAGAUGCUGCUUGACCUAUUGAGUUCUUCCAGCAUUUUGUGUGUGUUGCUCAAGAUUUCCGGCAUCUGCAGAAUCUCUUGCGUUACAAACUCAACUGUGAUGGCAGAUUUCCUUCCCUUGGGGCACAUUACUGAGGCAGGAGAAGAUUAACAACAAUACAGUAAUUUCUGUGAUUACUAUCACUAACUUGCUCCCCUCCAUCUAGGCAAAUCCUGAUUAUUAACCGCAGCUGCUCUGGUGGAAUUUGAACUCACAUCUCGCGGGCAGUGGAGGAGGGGGAUAUUCUUGGAACUUAAUCAGUAUGCAAGAAUUGUACUUCAAGCUACAUCACAGACGCAGUGGGUACUCAAUCCAUCAAAUGUAUAUUCACACAGGUUAUAAUAAUAAAUUGAUUAUCAAUUACACACACAUGCACACACUCACUCACAUACAUAUCCAUUCAAGGCUGUGAGGCAGUGUGGAUUGUCAAGGCAAUGCUGGGAGGUUUCAGGGGCACAUAGGUAGGAUGAGCGAAUGGGCAAGACUAUAGCAAAUAAUGAGGUAAAAUGUGUGAUGGGAAGAUUAGAAAGUCAGGAUGUUUUAUAACACUUGUGCUACUGAAAAGUGUUGCUCACUGAGACCUGGGUAUCCUUUACCGAAAUGGUCACAUAGGUGUAAUUGGGAGGCGUGGGCUUGUUGAGCUGGAAGGGCCUUUUACCAUGCUGUGUCUCUAAACUAAAAUAAAUAACUAAAUAGUUGAAAGUGAGCAUGUUGAUAGAGUAAGCAGUUAGGGAGGCAAAACUUUAUUAUAUAAGGAUUAGAAUAUAGGUAGUUCUGCUAUAAUGUGAUAGAUAUGUUCCUAACCAAUCUCAUGUUAUAGAAAACAAGAGAGAAUCUGCAGAUGCUGGAAAUUCAAGCAACACAGACAAAAUGCUGGAGGAACCCAGCAGCCCAAGCAGCAUUUAUGGAAAAGAGUACAGUCGAUGUUUCAGGCUGAAAUAUCGACUGUACUCUUUUUCAUAGAUGCUGCCUGGCUUGCUGAAUUCCUCCAGCAUUUUGUGUCAUGUUAUAGAAAGAUGUGUUAUAGCAGAACAAGCUAUAGUUGCCUUCCAAACACAGAUUUAAACAGGUUUUUCCAUGUGUUUCUCACCAAGGUUGCCUGAAUAAUUAAAAUAUUAUUCGCUAUUCUAUUGAUUAUGUUAUAACCAAAUUGUGUUAUGGAAUAUGCUGGAAAUGUGAUGCUGACAUGUGAUGAGGAUGUUAGGAGAAUUCAGGGUGACUUGGAUAGGCUGGGUGAGUGGGCAGAUACUUGGCAGACGAAGUUUAAUGUGAAUAAGUGUGAGGUUAUCCACUUUGGGAGUAAGAACAGGAAGGCAGAUUAUUAUCUGAACAGUGUAAAGUUAGGUAAGGGAGAAAUACAAAGAGAUCUAGGAGUCCUUGUUCGUCAGUCACUGAAGGUGAAUGAGCAAGUGCAGCAGGCAGUGAAGAAGGCUAAUGGCCUUUAUUACAAAGGGAAUUCAGUACAAGAGCAAGGAAAUCCUCUUGCAUUUGUACAGGGCCCUGGUGAGACCACACCUGGAGUGUUGUGUACAGUUUUGGUCUCUAGGGUUAAGGAAGGAUAUCCUGGCUAUAGAGGAAGUGCAGCGUAGGUUCACGAGGUUAAUUCCUGGGAUAUCCGGACUGUUUUACGCAGAGAGGUUAGAGAGACUGGGCUUGUACAUGCUGGAAUUAAGGAGAUUGAGAGGGGAUCUGAUUGCAACAUAUAAGAUUAUUAAGGGACUGGACAAGAUAGAGGCAGGAAAUAUGUUCCAGAUGCUGGGAGAGUCCAGUAUCAGAGGGCAUUGUUUGAAAAUAAGGGGUAGGUCAUUUAGGACAGAGUUAAGGAAAAACUUCUUCUCCCAGAGAGUUGUGGGGGUGUGGAAUGCACUGCCUCAGAAGGCAGUGGAGACCAAUUCUCUGGAUGCUUUCAAGAAGGAGCUAGAUAGGUAUCUUAGGGAUAGGGGAAUCAAGGGAUAUGGGGACAAGUCAGAAACCGGGUAUUGAUAGUAGAUGAUCAGCCAUGAUCUCAAAAUGGCGGUGCAGGCUCGAGGGGCCGAAUGGUCUACUUCUGCACCUAUUGUCUAUUGUCUAAAUCUUGAGUAACAAUACAAAAUGCUGGAGGAACUCAGCAAGUCAGGCAGCAUCUAUGGAAAUGAAUAAACAGUUAACCCUUCCUGCUGAAGGGUUGAGUGUUUAUUCCCCUCCACAGAUGCUGCCUGACUUGCUGAGUUCCUCCAGCGUUUUGUGUGUUAUGGAAAUGUGUUGUAGCAGAAUUGCCCAUACGAGAGUGGAGGGGGACUGUAUCUGUAGCUAUUGUGCACAGAUCCCCAUGCCUAUGAAUCAAUAUGAUGAAUCUUUGUUCCAAUAGCGUGAGUGGUACAAGGGUUUACCAGACCAUAAAAACAUGAGACAUAGGCGCAGAAUUAAACCAUUUGGCCCAUUGAGUCUGCUCCGUCAUUCCACCAUGGCUGAUAUAUUAUCCCCCUCAACCCCAUUUUCCUGCCUUCUCUCCGAAACCUUUGAUGCCCUGACUCACCAAGAACCUAUCAACUUCUGCUUUAAAUAUACCCAAUGACAUGGCCUCCACAGCUGACUGGCAAUAAAUUCCACAUAUUCAUUGCCCUGGCUAAAGAAAUUGCUCCUCACCUCUGCUGAAAAGAAACGUCCUUCUAUUCUGAGGCUGUGCCCUCUGGUCCUAGAUUCUCCCACUAUUGAAACAUCAUCAAUCAGCUCCAGAGAAGCUGGGUUUGUCCUGUGAGGGUAGCUGAAGCAGACUGGGCCUAUUUACACCUGAGUUUAGAAGUGAGCUCAUUGAAACCUACAAAAAUGUUUCGAGUGCUUGAGAGGCCAGAUGGGGGAAGGAUAUUUCCCCCAGAUGAGGAAGUCAAGGACCAAGGUUCACAGUCUCAGAAUAAAGGAUCAUUCACUCAGGGCUGAGAUGAGAGGAAAUUUCUUAAGCCGGAGGAUGGUAAAUCUUUGAAAUUCUCUCCCCAAGAGGUUCAGACACUGGGUAUGUUCAUACAAAGAUUUAUAUAUUUAUUUUGGAUAGGAAAGGAAUCAAGAGAUAUGGUGUUAAUACAGGAAAACGGCACAGAGCUCACAGGUCAGCCAUGGUCUUAUUGAAUGGUGGAUCAGUAACAAGUGGCCAAUGUCUGCACCUGUGGCUUAUGUUUUUACAGGCACUCAGGCUCACAUUCACACUCAUACCCUCACCUCCACACAGGCACACAAUGCAUGCACAAGUACUGACAUUUAGACACAUGAACACACGUUGUAUAUGUACACGCACAGUGUAAUGAAUUGAUCUGUAUGCACAGUAUAUAAGGCACUGUAUUCAGUACAUUUGACAAUAAUAAAAAAACAAUAAAUCAGUGCUGAUUGCUGAUGUCAACGAAGCUCCCGUUUUUUAUCUCACUGAUAACAAAGUCUGUGAAUGUUCUAAAGCUUUUUAAUGUUGCUACUGCACAAGUACAGGCAUUAGACUGAAAAUGACUGCUGGCAAAAUUAGCUUCUCACAUUCUUCUGACAUUCUUGUCAUUUCAUUUAACCCAGUUGCCUAACCUGCCAACUUUAAACAAAUUAAGGUGCUGAUUGCAGGACAGGAGGUCAUGGGUUCAAGUCCCAUUUGAGCACCAAGUUCCCUGUGGACACUUCUGCUGCAAGGUCAGGGAAGAUGAGGAGUUGGGUUUGGUCACUGAGGCUGCUGGCUGUUGAAGGAGACAUUAACUCAAUGCCUGGUCUGACACCAGUCACUUGGAAAGGCUACCUGAAGGACAAAGAAAUUCACCCCACCAUCCUGGCCAAUAUUUAUCUCCCAACCACACAAAAAAUAACUGACCUGGGGAGUAACUGACAUGUAGUAAAGGGAUUAAAUCCUGGCUGUUAAACAUGUUUCAGUCCUUAGUGCGCAGGUCGCCUGGAUAGUGAACCUGUUGCUGUUCCUCUAUGCAUACCACACACGGGGGCUGGUGAACUCAAUGGUAUCAGUUUCAAUGUCACCCACAAACUCCCAUCGGCAGGGCAGGCCCACACAGAAGCAAAUGGUAAUGAGGAGUCAGGGCCUGUUUCUGUGCUAAUUAUACAGGCCAGGGAAUCUGGAAAUGUGGAUGUGCCAUCUUUAAUCAGCCUGGCCCUACUCUAAGAUCUUUUCUUAUUACUUGCUUCUGCCCCAGCAACCCACCCUCACCACAGGCAUCAGUUGGGGCUCCUCAUCACUUCCAUGAUGAGUGGCCAAUCUUAUAUCCCAGCUGGAUUCUGACACACCUCCUUUCUUACACUGAGUGAUCGAGAGAGACAGCACGGAUACAGGCCCUUUAGCCUACAAUGUCCAUGCUGACCAUCAAUUGAUCCCAUUUUAUUCUCCCCACAUUCCCAUCAACUGUGUCCAGGUUCUACCCCUCUCCCACACACCAAGGGCAAUUUACAGCGGCCAAUUAAACCCACCAACCCGCACGUCUUUGGGGUGUAGGAGGAAACCAAAGCACCUGGUGGAAACACACGCGAUCAGGGGAGAGCGCGCAAACUCCACACGGACAGCGCUGGCGAUCAGGAUCAAACCAGGGUUUCUGAAGCUGUGAGGCAGCAGCUCUACCCGCUGUGCCACUGCACCGCCUCAGUAUAUCCCGAUCCAACACACUCUCCAGUCCCAUCCUUGCCCUUAUUGAUGCAACUCUCAUGUCUGACCCUCUCUUCCCUCAAUCCCACCCAUGCCUUGGGACUCCUAUAUGAUAAAGUUUAGUUUCUUGGAAACUACAACAGACAGAGCAGCAGUUUAAUAUGGCUUUUGAGGCAUCAAAUAAUUUCUGCUGCAUAGAGUUAUUCAACAUAGAAAGCCCAAAUGUCCACGCUGACCUUUUAGUUCACCUACACUAUGCUAAUGUGUUCUUCAUCUUUAACUCAGUCUUCUUCAUAAGGUCCAACUGUGCCCAAACUGACUGCUUCUAAACUACAAAUGUGACUGCAUGUUAAAGUAAAUCAAUAAACUCUUGGGGAAAAAAAACUGCUUUUUCCUCAAAUGCAAUGUUAAAUUAAACCCAAAUGCUUGUACCUUGUGGCAGAUCUGAGAAACAAAUAGAGAUUUAUUUUCUUUGUAAUGCAUACUUCAUACCAAAACCAGUAUGAAAAGCAGCUAGGACAAGAAAAAGUACUUUCUUUUCAGUAAAGGACUGAAAUCCAACUCUUAAAUUCGUUAACAAGAGUCACGUCAUCUUUCAAAUGUUAAAGAGUAAAGAAAAUAUGAGAAUUUUGAAAGGAUUUGGCACUGUAUCAUCUAUGUACAUGGUCCCUUUAAGGUGUUGUUGAUAACUGUGCAUUCAGUAGGCAAUUUUUUAUGUAAAAUGGCUGACAUUCAACUGAUGGAGGAGGCCAUAAAUCCAGUAACUGUGGUCGCCCUUGUGAAUGAUCUCCUCUCCAUUAGAAGCAGAACAUGUUUGCUUGAGCAGUGAUAAUGGUUUAUUUAUGCCAAAGCUACUCAGGGGGCUUUUCCACUGAUAGGGCCUUUGUGUCCACGCUCUGCGUAUUCGCUCUCGAUCCCUCUGUAAACAUUUGGCCUGAGCUGCUCUCACUUGACAGAGAGGAGAGCACACUUUGCUCACCGGCCAAGACUGCCAGGCCUCUCUCCGAGGCCCUUGACACGGUGAGGCAGAUUGGCCUUUAUAACACAGGAGGGAGCGGUUCAAGUACCCAGGUCAUUGACUGAAUGAAGAGCCUUUCCCUCUGGAGCUGGGUCUGUAGCUGGGUACAAGAGUGGAGUGUUGUGAAGAGCCCUUCUCAUAUAGAGCUUACAAUGUAGCAGGAAAGGUCAGCUGUAAUAUAACAGCCAUUUGGCCCACUGGGUUCAUGCCGGCUCUUACUCUCAACCAAUGGAUUUCUUUGAGCCACACAGCAUGGAAACAGGCCCUUUAGCCAAUCAAGUGCAUGUCAAACAUCAAAUCCCAUUUUGAUUCUAUUUUAUUCUCCAAUGUUCCCAUCAGCCCAUCUAGUCUAUGCUGGAUGAGGAGUGAUCACAUUCCUCUUUUAAUUUUUCCCUCUAACCUAUUCUUCCCACACGUCCAUCAACUCCUCCCAGAUUCUACCCCUCACCCACUCACUAGGGGUAAUUUACAGCAGACAAUUAACCUCCAAACUUUGGGAUGCAGAAGGAAACCAGAGUGCCUGGGGAAACCCACUGGGGUGCAGACAGCGGCUGAGGUCAAAAUUGAAACGGGAUCUCUGGCGCUGGGAGGCAGUAGCUCUACCCGCUGCAUCACUCUGCUUUCUAGUAAUAGCAGGGUUCUCAGAGUGUGCGUGGCACAACUGGCAGGUGUGUUUACUGACACUUUUAAUCUCUCCCUCUCCCAGUGUAGAGUGCCCUCCUGCUUCAAAUUAUCCACCAUUGUCCCUGUACCAGAAAAGACCAAGGUAACAUGUCUGAGCGACUGGCAUCCUGUCACACUCACCUCAAUAAUAAGCAAAUGCUUGAGAGGCUGGUCAAGGACUACAUCUGCAGCACGAUACCACCCAAACUGGACCCCCUACAAUUCACCUAUCGACACAAUCAACCACAGAUGAAACAAUAGCCGCAGUUCUACACACCGUCCUUACACAUCUGGAGAAGAAGGAUGUUUAUGUGAGAAUGCUUUUCUUGGACUACAGUUCAGCAUUCAACACCAUAAUUCCAUCCAGGCUCGACAAGGACCUCAGAGACUUCGGCCUUCACCCUGCCUUGUGCAGCUGGAUCCUGGACUUCCUGUUGGAUCGCCAGCAGGUGGUAAGAGUGGGCUCCCUCACCUCUGCCCCUCUGAUCGUCAACACAGGUGCCCCUCAGGGCUGUGUACUAAGCACCCUCCUUUACUCUGUAUACCCAUGACUGUGCCACUACCCACAGCUCCAGUCUGCUAAUUAAAUUUGUUGACAACACCACACUGAUUGGCCUAAUAUCAAAUAAUAAUGAGGCAGCCUGCAGAGAAGAAGUCAUCUCUUGGCCACAGUGGUGUCAAGAAAACAACCUCUCCCUUAAUGUUGCAAAAACAAAUGAGCUGGUUGUGGACUACAGGAGGAAUGGAGACGGGCUAACCCCUAUUGACAUCAAUGGAACUGGGGCUGAGAGGGUGAACAGCUUUAAGUUCCUCAGCAUCCACAUCACCGAGGAUCUCACAUGGUCUGUACAUACCAGCUGUGUGGUGAAAAAGGCACAACAGUACCUCUUUCACCUCAGAUGUUGAUGAUGUUUGGUAUGGGCCCUCAAAUCCUAAGAAUUUUCUACAGGGGCACAAUUGAGAGCAUCCUGAUCUGCUACAUCACUACCUGGUAUGGGAACUGUACCUCCCUCAAUCGCAGGACUGCAGUGGGUGGUGCGGACCCAGCGCAUCUGUAGAUGUGAACUUCCCGUGAUUCAGGACAUUUACAAAGACAGUUGUGUAAAAAGGGCCUGAAGGAUCAUUGGGGACCCGAGUCACCCCAACCACAAACUGUUCCAGCUGCUACCAUCCAGGAAGCGGUACAGCAGCAUAAAAGACAGGACCACUGGGCUCCAGGACAGCUUCUUCCACCAGGCCAUCAGACUGAUUAGUCCACACUGAUACAAUUGUAUUUCUAUGUUAUAUUGACUGUCCUGUUGUACAUAAUAUUUAUUAUAAAUUGCUAUAAAUUGCACAUUGCACAUUUGAAUGGAGACGUAUCGUAAAGAUUUUUACUCCUCAUGUAUAUGAAGAAUGUAAGUAAUAAA